RNAcentral lists this ribosomal RNA (430 nucleotides) under Triticum aestivum (bread wheat). Its description in RNAcentral is "partial small subunit ribosomal RNA". Lineage: Eukaryota; Viridiplantae; Streptophyta; Magnoliopsida; Poales; Poaceae. The record is from RNAcentral.
UUUUCAUAGUUACGAAUUACACUCCACUACUGGAUUUAAAAAAAGUGAGCCACAUUAAUUGUCCUAAACACCACAAGGUAGAAGCACCUCACUAACAGCUGCAACCUCCACAACCAGGUGCUAGCAGGUAGAGGAAACUAGCUGAUGUAGCCUCCUCUACCGUCUAUUAGUCACCUACAUAUCACCCAAAAAGGCAGCCUUAGUUCAUUGUUGUCUCACCCAGCUCUUUUGACUACACAAAAACUUUCUCUAUAAGGCAUCAGGUUACUCCUACCACGGUCUUACGGGCACACGGUCUACAUUCUCCGCAUAAGCGUCUCUAUUCUCACUCUACUGAUUCGUGGAAGCGUGCGUACCUAAAUACGGGUUGAAAUUAUACGGCUAUUUGAAACGGGUCGCCCUGGCACCAUCUCUCCUACACUAUGCUGUU